Molecule: RNA transcript, 5606 nt
Organism: Dromaius novaehollandiae (emu)
Lineage: Eukaryota; Metazoa; Chordata; Aves; Casuariiformes; Dromaiidae
Gene: SLC22A3
Gene name: solute carrier family 22 member 3
Exons: 9
Source: RefSeq, a predicted model, not a curated record
UAUGUUUGUGCACUUUAAAUCGCAGUCCUCUGCAGCUGCGUGCGAGCCCCAUGCCACUUGACAUGCCGUGACUCUCUGUGCGUACGAUUGGGUGCACGCAUGCAUUUCUGCACACAACUUGCCCCAUUGCAGCUCCGCUUACGCUACUGUGAUUGUGUGUGUGUGUGUGUGUAGAGGGGAAGAGAGGAGAGAGAGAAGGCACUCGCACUAUUACAAUCAUAGGAAGUACCGGCAGCAGUUGCAAAGUGUGAAAGCAAACUCUGCCACCUCUUGGAUCGCUCCGAGUGGACAGACCACCUCCCAUAAUGCCAUCUUUCGAUGAGGUUUUAAAAGAAGCUGGAGAAUUUGGAAGAUUCCAAAAGAGGGUCUUUUUCCUCCUUUGCCAGACAGGCAUAACUUUUUCCUUCCUAUUUGCCAGUGUGGUUUUUCUUGGGCUGGCACCGGAGAAUUAUUGGUGCAGGAUCCCUGGGGCAGCUGAACUGAGCGAAAGAUGUGGCUGGACACUCGAAGAGGAACGCAACUUUACGGUGCUGCCCCUGCGGCUGGCGAACGAGUCGUCGAGCAGGGAGUGCGAGAGGCUGGACAUGGCAUGGGACACCUCCACCAGCUGCGCCAACCCCCUCUCCCUCUACGGCAACCGCAGCGCUGGCAGCCUGCCGCUUACUGCAUGCCACGAUAACUGGGUUUACGAGGAGCCCCACUCGUCCGUUGUCAGUGAGUAUAACCUUGUGUGCGGCAAUGCCUGGAUGCUAGAUCUAACGCAGGCUAUCCUCAAUCUGGGAUUUCUGGCUGGUGCAUUCACUCUAGGCUACGCUGCAGACAGAUACGGCAGAAUCCUUAUUUAUCUUCUUUCCUGCCUUGGAGUUGGGAUAUGUGGUAUCAUAGUUGCAUUUGCACCAAACUUUACUGUAUUUUUGAUCUUCCGUUUUCUCCAAGGUGUGUUUGGCAAGGGAACCUGGAUGACAUGCUAUGUGAUCGUGACGGAGAUCGUUGGUUCUGACCAGCGGAUCCUUGGGAUCGUGAUACAGAUAUUCUUCACCCUGGGAAUUAUGAUUCUCCCUGGAAUUUCAUACUGGGUUCCCAACUGGCAGGGUAUCCAGCUGGCCAUUUCACUGCCCAACUUCCUUUUCCUGCUCUACUACUGGGCAGUUCCUGAAUCUCCACGCUGGCUCCUGACACGCAGAAAGAGAGAGAAGGCACUAAAAAUUAUGCGCGACAUUGCAAAACACAACGGGAAAUAUCUCUCACCACAUUACUCAGAGAUCACUGUUAGUAAUGAAGAGGUCAGCAAUCCCUCAUUUCUUGAUCUGGUUAGAACUACCCAGAUGAGAAGAAACACGCUGAUUCUGAUGUACGCCUGGUUCACAAGUGCCCUGAUCUACCAAGGGCUUGUCAUGCGUCUAGGAAUUGUUGGAGGAAACCUCUACCUAGACUUCUUCAUCUCAGGAGCUGUAGAACUGCCCGCAGCUCUCCUAAUUUUAGUGACAAUUGAUCGCAUUGGUCGGCGCCUACCCUUCGCAAUAAGCAAUAUCGUGGCAGGAAUUGCAUGCCUCAUUACUGCCUUCUUGCCAGACGGUAAUUCCUUUCCUUUCUGUUUGCUUCCCAGCAGUAGGCUCUUUAGGUUGAUGACUUCUCUGUAACACCUCUUGAGUAGGAGGCCACACAGAGCUGUAGAUAAAAGUAAAAAGGGGCCUGUAAUGCAAGUAACACCACAGUUAUGGGACAAUACAUAUUAUUUGCUCAUGGGUUACCCUGGAACAUAUAAUGGCCAUAUCUUUGAUGGGUAGUGAGCAACAGAUGGAUGUGGUUUUAAGAGAGAUGUGUAUAAAGGCUCUGCCCUGUUUUUGAAUGCAGAAGCAGGGGAAAGAGAUGCAAAUAUAAGGGGAAAACAUAUUCCCCUACUUGGAAGAUACUUACGGUGUAAGAAAUCAAUGAAAUAGAUGUGACAACAUGGUUGUCUUCUCAUUUCCAGAUAAAUCAAUGUGUAGAAGAAAAAUACACAGCCUAACCUCUAAAUACCUUCAUCCAGAUUCAUGGCUUUCCUGGCAUUAUCAGGCUAUUUCAGCAGCCCAAAGGUGCCACGCUGUAAUGUGCUCUGCCCACUUUUCAGUUUGAUUCCCCAUUUCCUCCCAGUCCACAACCACUAUAUGGUAUGGGGGGCUGUGGCAGGCAACCUGGAGAUGGUUGCCCUGCCUUCACCCUCCCAGGAAUUUGGGCAAUGCUAAGGGGAUAAAGUAAAGGUUUAGCUUUCAGUUAAAUCAUUGUUAUCUGGCUUCAAAAACAACUAAAGGGUCUGAUACUGCAUUCAGACUUUCCAGCACUCCUUUCUUUUCUUCAAAUUGUUUUCCCUCUUGUGUAGCUAUUUAACUAUACCAUGAAGUGCAUAUUCUCAGGGAAGCAUUUAGAGGUGCUCUACACAGAGCAUUACCACAUCAGCAUGCUUUGCCUCAGAACAGCUAGGAACUGGCAACUGAAUUGGCAUUAGAGAGGCUUAUUCCUCCCCAGGGUUGUUCCCAUCAAAGUGAAGCGACAGUCCUGGCUGGCCUUAGAGGUUCUGAUUCCAGAAAUUAUAUCAGAAGGUAAUAGUUUUCCUAGAGAAAAGCCAUGAAAACCCACUUCAAGAGUACUGACCCAUGAAAACAGGCAGGUUUGCUCUGAGUGCACACUGAAAUCUUUCAAAGAGGUAUGUUGAUUCAUUCGCUUUAAAGGGAUUCCUCCAAAAGUAUGUGAAGUUAAUACUGUAUAUUUGAGGAGCUCCAUUGCUUCAACGGAAGCAGAAACAAUGUGACAGAGAAAUGGGAUGGGUAGGCUGAGAGUCUGGGCCUGGGCCUGGUGCUGGUGGCUAUGUGACUUUGCCCUGGGAUAUUGUAUUGUAGUCACUUGUUUAAGUUCAUCAGUUUGACAGCUGAAGUCCAUGGAGAUUUGACCUGCUGUCCUGAAGUAUUCUCCUUGUGACCUCCCAGGUCCCUGCUGCUUUGAGCCUCUCCAAAGAGCCCCAUGCACCAUGAGUGGAUGCCAGCAGCACGCUGCUGCUGGUGGCAGCCCCCCACUCGACUUUGCCAGCACCAUUUUCAACCUAUGAAAGCAAUACCAAGGAUGCACUGGGACAACAAGGACUGAGGAUUGUUGAUUGUCCAGAGCAGAAGGAGAAAACAAAGAAUGACACUGGGGAAUUAUUCCUUCAGGGCAUUUGCCUGAAGCAGCUACAUUUUUGGGGCAGAACCAUUUUGCUGAGCACCGUGCAGCAGCUCUGAGGUUAGAGCAGGAGCAUCUUGUGGGGCUGGUAUGACCUGAGGGAGAGGCUGAAGGGGUAACCUAUGGCCAGCUGGGUGCUGCCAUCAGCAUACCCUCAAUAGUCACAGAGCGGUGCUGAUGGGACUCUGCUCCCCGGUAAUGUUAAUCAGGCUGAAAACAGGACAGCCUGGGGUUUAGGUUACUUGCAUAUGGGAUAUUUGAGGUCCAAAUCCUGCUUUCAAGAAAUGUCUGUUUAUACAGAUGGGAAGAACAGCAGCAGCAGCAGCUUGCCAGAGUUGUCACAUUGUGGUGCUCACACAGUUCAGGUCCUCCUGGCAGAGGUAGGAGUACGUCAUCCUCACCUCAGGGGCCUUAUUGACUGAAGGGGGGCUAUGGUAACAACGUGGAUUUAUUUUGUUCUUUCUAGCCUUUGCAUUUCUUACAAGUGUUUGAAAAAUAGACCUUUUCAGGGCAAAGACAAUGUCUCACAACAUGGGAUGAAAUUUGUUGAGGGAUUUGUUUGAUUGUUUUGGAAGGGAACGAAAAUCCAAGCAUCUCAUUUCUGGUUCAGAGCAAACUGAAAUGCUUUCUUGUUCUUCUUGUUUAAGUGAAAACACAAUCACUGCCAGAGCUCUCUGCCUGCUGGUGGCAGACCCCCCACACACUUCGCACCAUGUUCAGGCUUGCAGUUUCUCUAGGCUCCCAGUCUGCCUUGCCAGGCAGCUCUUGGUUACCUUGAAAAAUCUUCAUGGUUAGACCAUAUGGGAGACCAUCUUCUUCCAAGAGCACUGCUGAAGUACUUGCUACUUUCCUUGCGACUCUUCUCCACAGGCCGCUGGCUCUCCAGAGAGGGCUGUCAGACUGCUGAAGGGUUGCCCUCAGUGACAUGGCAUACCUCUGCCUGACAGGGCAGAUAUGACCUUCGUGCCCCAUGCACCUUGUUCCCCACUGGUGAGAGUGACAAAGGGCAGUGUAAGGCCUGUAGGCACAUUGCAUCAAGUAUGGCAUCAGGAUCUGGGGAAGGGAAGUGGGAGGAUGGCCAGAAGCAACAUCAUUAGGAGCAUGUAUAAUGUGCAGUGGCUAAAAAAUUGCACAGUGCCUGGUCUAAGGAGUUUCCUGUAGCUGCAGAUGCAUCUUUAAAAGUAGCUUCUUUGUGGUCAGACGCUUUGGAAGGUAGUUCAACUGCAUUUCUUGGAGUGUAACAUCCCUGUGUAAAUAAAUCCUCCUUUCUGGGACACAAUUUGAACAUGGUCAGGGAAGCAUAUGGCAUUCAUUCUCCCACUCAUGGCAUUAUGCCCUGCCAGUGUCUUGAAUCAAUCAGCUGGACAUCAUUUUUGCUUCUCCAAAGCAGCCUUGCAUGACGUUAGAAAGCAAUAGAUGACAGUAUAGAUAAACAUCUACAGCAUGGCCCUUCAGUCUGGCUUGACCAACCCAGAAUUUCUGUGACAUAGCUUUUGCUGACUAGACCUGGAACUUAUUCUCUUAGAAGCAGAAAAAUAGAAAUUGUGUGGUUGGAUGAGACCUGAAGUCCAUCUAGUUCUGUAACCAGCUUUUGACAAGGAGGGUAUAUACUCGUGGGUCCACUCGUGUGGGCAGGUAGAGACACUGUGCUCUCAUUCCUUCUCCCACUUUUUCCCCCAAACAUAUCAGGGGCUUGCUGCUAAAAAGUUACAGACUGAUUUAAGACAAGGGUUUGGAGAACCUCUUUGUUAAUCGCUAGCUGUGUGGUUUCUUCUUCCGAGUUGGUGAGGUCUUGUUGUCAGUGAUUUCAAGUGGUAGUAAUUCUUCUGUCUGUGAAGAGGAACGAAAAGUACUUCCACUGACUAGUUUUGAAUUUAAGACACCUAGAACUAGCCAUUGUAGCCUGAGACUGCUCAAUGAAUCCUAGGAGAUCAGACUCCUCUGGAGAAUCCUUUGGAGUCCAGUGCUGCUGAAGCAAUAGUUCAGUUGUGCCAAACCAGAUGUCUGGUGCUCACGCUGUGACUUUAGUACUUCUUUCCUUUUCAAAUAUAGAAGCAGCUUUUUCUGCUUUUCUCAUCAUCACUUGUGUUUUACUGUGUUCUGGUACUGGAAGAGGCUUUCUUUAUGCCUAUAUAUCAGAAAAACUCUGCUGCAGUCUGUGGAGUUAUUGGUAUAAAAUCCAUGUAAGUGAGAACCAGGCCUGAAGCGUAUGGCUGAUACAGGAAAGCACACUUCACCAGGGUUUCUUUUUGAAUGAACAGAUCUCCCAUGGUUCAAAACCACAGUAGCCACACUGGGAAGACUGGGCAUCACAAUGGCUUUUGAAAUUGUGUAUCUUGUGAACACUGAAUUGUACCCUACAACGCUGAGAAACUUUGGUGUUUCCCUGUGCUCAAGUUUGUGCGAUCUAG